UACAUGGGGUGCGAAACGUUGCUCGGAAUUAUUGGGCGUAAAGCGCACGUAGGCGGUUCGUUAAGUCGGAUGUGAAAGCCCUCGGCUCAACUGAGGAAGUGCACCCGAAACUGGCGAGCUUGAGUACGAAAGAGGAUCGCGGAAUUCCCGGUGUAGAGGUGAAAUUCGUAGAUAUCGGGAGGAACACCGGUGGCGAAGGCGGCGAUCUGGGUCGAUACUGACGCUGAGGUGCGAAAGCGUGGGGAGCGAACAGG
Molecule: ribosomal RNA, 254 nt
Filed under: uncultured bacterium
Lineage: Bacteria
Description: partial 16S ribosomal RNA
Rfam family: Bacterial small subunit ribosomal RNA
Source: RNAcentral